Molecule: long non-coding RNA, 2415 nt
Organism: Cynoglossus semilaevis (tongue sole)
Lineage: Eukaryota; Metazoa; Chordata; Actinopteri; Pleuronectiformes; Cynoglossidae
Exons: 6
Source: RefSeq, a predicted model, not a curated record
CCCUCGCCCCCCCUACCCUCGCCCCCUCAGAGACACAGCAUUUCAUCCCCUUCAUUUUAAACUCACAGCUGUCAUUUACCCAGCAGCCCCUGUAAUGUACACCAUCAGACUGAUGCAGAUCACUGACGUAGGCCACAUGCACAGCAGCGAGAUCAAGGCCCUUAAACGCAACAGCUUGCUACUGUAACGAAGGUAACAAAGAGUUUGUUUUUGAAUGUUUGCUGUGAACAUUUUUUCUCCUUGUGAAUAAAAAAAUAAGUGCUUUAAUCCUCACCUGACGUCAUGAUGCUGCUGCUGCUGCUGCUGCUGCCGCCGCUUAGGCUGCGUUCCAUUAAGGUGAUUUCUGUCCAGUGUUUACUCGUUCAGUUUGGGACCAGAUCUGAUGCAAAAGUAAGAUUCUCUGUGCUCGUCUGCAGGAACCGUUGUCGGCCUCACGGCACCCGGACGUUUUCCCUCCAUUUCCUGUCUUUUCCCCCUCACCGUUGUCCAGUUGUCAGAAAGUGAGUAAAAUGUGCGACUUUACCGGCAUCACGGUUGUGGUUCUCUGCACCUUUCGUUCGACUCUUCACACCUCUGGGCCAAUGAGAUCAGAUCAAAUCACCUCGGUGUUGACAGAAUCACGACACGGCACAUAUUUUUCCCCUCACUGUGGUUUAAUGGCCUUGGUUUUACAGAGAGACACGGGUGUUCAGACCAUAAACGAACACUAGGUGUCAGCACAACAAACUUUUCUGUUGACACCAGGGAACGUGGGGUCAGAGGUCAUGCAGAAGUCAAAUAAAGGAUAAAAUAACAUUGAACGUCUGAACUUUUCUCUGCCAAUUAGAUAAAACAAAAAGUCUGUCUUUUUCCCCUUUGUUUUAAUGCGUUCGAUAAAUCACCUUCAUAAUUUUACAAAACAUUUUCUGAAUGGGCCGAAUUUAAACGCCAAGCGGGCCAGUUUUGGCCCGUGGGCCGUAUGUUUGACACCCAAUGCCUUAACUGGUCUUAAAUGUUUCAAAACUAUUCUAACAUUGUGCGGCAGUUAAACCCACGUCUGUCUGGUUUUGAUUCCGUUCAGUCUGACUUGUUUAUAUUUGUUUUGUUUUUUUUUCCACCCUGUAGAAGGCGCCGGGUUUUUACUUGCCUUGCAAAGAGUUGCUGGUUCAAAUCUGGGUAGUUCUUCACUCCUCACCCCGACAGAAAGAGUUGCAUCAGGAAAGCUGCAGAGUGGAGAGGCUACGACCGGAGUCUAGAUCGGAUUAGUCCAGAUUAGUGUAGGAGUUUCUGCUCAUCCCAGCAGCAGUCACCUGGAGACAAACGGAAUCAGAGCAAAUUAUCUGCCCGGUCGCAGCCGUCUGUUUGUAGGAGGGAAUCCAGGAGACAGAAACGAGGAAUAUGAGGAGCUGAUGACUGUGAGGCCUCCCGCUGCUGCUUCAGAGCCAACGAUGAGUAAUGGAAGGGGGUUCAAAACCCAAGACAAGCGAGGCGGUGACGUGGGGCAGACUCACGUCCUCGCACCUGUGUUUGGUCUCGUCUGGACUGAAGGUUCUCCUCCGACGUCAGAUCCUUGUUGGAAAGCAGCGCUGCAUUAAUAAUCCACUGAUGUGAAGCCCACCGUCCUCACUCACUGAGGGGGGAGGAGUGAGGGGGCUCCUGCUCAAGUGAUGACGCUGCAGAUAUUUGGAUGAGUUACAGCGUGGAGCCAGGAAACGUGGCGAGCACCGAGAAACAGCCGUGCCGCCGCUCCGGGACACACACGGACUCAUCUGAACCACAUCACAGCAAAUCAUCUGGACGGAAGCGCUGAAGCUGAUUGGCUGCCGGACGGCCCGUUGACCACGUGUUGACUUCAUUUGUCGCCACUGAGAGUCGGCUCAUGUCAGAGAGUCUCCCUGGUCCUGCAUUCGGGUCCUGCCUAAUUCCUGCCAUGACGACAGAUGACACAAGCAACAGUUUGAAUAUUACAGCUCGACUGCGACUCCAUGAAAACAUGAUAUAACUCCUAAAACGGUAAGCUAAUUUGUCUGUGUUAACUUUUCCCGAUUGUUUUGAUUAUAUAGAAUAUAAAAUAUAGAAAAUAGUUCAAUGUUUUAGUGUAAUAAUCGUUUUAUAACUGCAGGCGUACCCGCCCGCACCAACGGCCGCAUCCCUCAGAUUAAACCCAGACCACGCUUGAUGUUCUGCCACUAUCAUCCAAAUUGUGUAUUUUUCAAAUUAUUUCACUUCUGUCUUCGUGUUGAUCUGGUUUGUUUAAUUAUUUUUUUUUUUUUGCAAAAAGUGGACUGGCAUUUUGUGUUUAAGAGUAAAAGCUUUAAGUUAAUAGUCUAUUUGUGUCUUGCAUUUUAAGGCAUUUUGGGGACUUUUUAUUUUUUGGGAUUUUUUCACGAUGGUAAGGCUAUAGUAAGGCGUGUUUUGGGUGAUUUUUGAAAUAUU